UACGGAGGGGCGAGCGUUAUUCGGAAUUAUUGGGCGUAAAGGGCGCGUAGGCGGCUGUACAAGUCAAAGGUGAAAUCCCUCGGCUCAACUGAGGAACUGCCUUUGAAACUGUACGGCUUGAGGCCGGGAGGGGGUAGCGGAAUUCCCAAUGUAGCGGUGAAAUGCGUAGAUAUUGGGAGGAACACCAGUGGCGAAGGCGGCUACCUGGACCGGUUCUGACGCUGAUGCGCGAAAGCG
Molecule: ribosomal RNA, 237 nt
Filed under: uncultured bacterium
Lineage: Bacteria
Description: partial 16S ribosomal RNA
Rfam family: Bacterial small subunit ribosomal RNA
Source: RNAcentral